This 1442-nucleotide long non-coding RNA is filed under the name Equus asinus (donkey). RNAcentral describes it as "lncRNA (ENSEASG00005020937.2)". Lineage: Eukaryota; Metazoa; Chordata; Mammalia; Perissodactyla; Equidae. The record is from RNAcentral.
UGGGCUGCUCGUGCGGUCCGGGCCUGCCCUGCUCCAGCUCUGAGUGAGCCCACUUAGUCGCAUGCCAGGGGCCUCUGCGGCACGGGCCAGUAGGAGGCCAGAUUAAUCGCUAUGACAAGUGAUCUCCAAACCUCUGUGGCUGAACACAAUAAAAAGUCACUCACGACUUCCAGAAUAAACGACCAUGAGUGUCCUGGUCAGGUAGCUCUCCUGGGCGCUGUCCUCCCAGCAGUGACUCGGGGACCCGGGCUCCUUCCACACUGUGGCUCUGCCAUCACCUCGGGCCUCGGGUUCCUCCGCUGGAUUCUGUCUGUCUACCAGCAGACGAGGGAAGAGUGCUGGGCUCUGAGUGGCCUUUCCUUGGCCCGGGCCUGGCGGUAGAGCCCACGUCUACCACACUCCAUUGGCCAGAAUUCAGACACCAGCUACGAAGAAAGCUGGGAACUACAGUGUCGUUUUGCACCCAGGAAGGAAAGAAGUGGUUUGGCAAACCACCAGCCAGUCUCUCUUGUACGAGGCUCCAGUCUGUGUUUCCAGUCUCAGCUCCUAUGACUUCUUGGCCACCAUCUGCUAAGAGGAUUGUAUGAUUUGUUCACAAUUUUUCUUUCUCUAACCAUCGUUGCGUGGCUCUUCCUGGGCAGGUGUACUUCCCGGCCCUGCUGACUUUGGGACCAGCCAUGUGACUUGCUGUAACCCGUGGAGUAUGGGCAGACGCAGGGUGUGUCUGUGCACUGGGGCGCUUUCACUGUGGCCGUGUGGUUCGGCUUGGCCUCUUGCACGCCUGCGUUGCACCUUGAGAAGGAGCAGAGAGGCCCCAGGCCCAGAUGGAGCCUUGGGCAGCAAAGGACAGCCCACUGACACGGACCAGCUGAGGCAGGAAAGGGACAAGACACUCGAGAGAGAGUCUCCACAGCAAGUACUGGGUUGAGGGACCCAGCAAGGCCGUGCCGGGCCAAGAUGCUGGACGAGUGAAUUGCCUGUGAGGAGCCACGCCUGGCAAAGACGGAAAAGGAAAAGGCUGUUAUCGACGGAGCAGGAGGGGUCCAGGCUGGAGGCUGGAGGGAAGUCACCACGGGCCCGGACGGUCAAGAUGGCUUCCUCCUUCCAUCUGGCCUUCUCUGCUCCACCUCUCCAAGGUGGGACAUGCUGUGUCAGCCCUGUGUGCUCCCAGGCCCCGCACCAGCAGCCCAGUCCCUGCUCCAGACUCACGGGAGGAUCUGAUUGGCUCGGCCCCUCCCUGGCGUGUGAUCUCCAGUGUGCAGUCAGCUGGGACCAGGGGGCACGUCCCUGCAUCCUGGGCUUUCCCAGGUCCCAUCUCUGCUUUGGCACUGUUCCCAGACAACGUGUGGAGCAGACACCCUAGGAGGGGGCUGCUGCCGGUGCUUGUGGUUGAUGGAACUCUCGAAUGCGGUGUUUCCCCAGCUGAGCCAGGCAGCUUCCCC